CCUACGGGAGGCAGCAGUGGGGAAUAUUGGGCAAUGGGCGGAAGCCUGAUCCAGCGACGCCGCGUGAGUGACGAAGUAUUUCGGUAUGUAAAGCUCUAUCAGCAGGGAAGAAAGAAAUGACGGUACCUGACUAAUAAGCCCCGGCUAACUACGUGCCAGCAACCGCGGUAAUACGUAGGGGGCAAGCGUUAUACGGAUUUACUGGGUGUAAAGAGAGCGUAGACGGUUACGCAAGUCAGGAGUGAAAGGCGGGGGCUCAACCCCCGGACUGCUUUGGAAACUGUAUAACUGGAGUGCAGGAGAGGUAAGUGGAAUUCCUAGGGUAGCGGUGAAAUGCGUAGAUAUCAGGAGGAACACCAGUGGCGAAGGCGGUUUACUGGACUGUAACUGACGUUGAGGCUCGAAAGCGUGGGGAGCAAACAGGAUUAGAUACCCCUGUAGUC
RNAcentral lists this ribosomal RNA (443 nucleotides) under uncultured bacterium. RNAcentral's name for it is "partial 16S ribosomal RNA". It matches the Rfam family "Bacterial small subunit ribosomal RNA", at positions 338 to 795 of the family's 1533-position model. The record is from RNAcentral.